AGUGAACGCUGGCGGUAGGCCUAACACAUGCAAGUCGAACGGCAGCACAGUAAGAGCUUGCUCUUACGGGUGGCGAGUGGCGGACGGGUGAGGAAUACAUCGGCAUCUACUUUUUCGUGGGGGAUAACGUAGGGAAACUUACGCUAAUACCGCAUACGACCUACGGGUGAAAGCAGUGGAUCUUCGGACCUUGCGCGUUUGAAUGAGCCGAUGUCGGAUUAGCUAGUUGGCGGGGUAAAGGCCCACCAAGGCGACGAUCCGUAGCUGGUCUGAGAGGAUGAUCAGCCACACUGGAACUGAGACACGGUCCAGACUCCUACGGGAGGCAGCAGUGGGGAAUAUUGGACAAUGGGCGCAAGCUUGACCCAGCCAUACCGCGUGGGUGAAGAAGGCCUUCGGGUUGUAAAGCCCUUUUGUUGGGAAAGAAAAGCAGCAGGUUAAUACCCCGCUGUUCUGACGGUACCCAAAGAAUAAGCAACGGCUAACUUCGUG
This 492-nucleotide ribosomal RNA is filed under the name uncultured bacterium. Its description in RNAcentral is "partial 16S ribosomal RNA". It matches the Rfam family "Bacterial small subunit ribosomal RNA", at positions 29 to 507 of the family's 1533-position model. The record is from RNAcentral.